Molecule: ribosomal RNA, 792 nt
Filed under: uncultured bacterium
Lineage: Bacteria
Description: bacterial SSU rRNA
Rfam family: Bacterial small subunit ribosomal RNA
Source: RNAcentral
UAGAGUUUGAUCAUGGCUCAGGAUGAACGCUAGCGGCAGGCUUAACACAUGCAAGUCGAGGGGCAUCGGGAGGGAAGCUUGCUUUCCUUGCCGGCGACCGGCGCACGGGUGAGUAACACGUAUGCAACCUGCCCUCUUCAGGGGGACAACCUUCCGAAAGGGAGGCUAAUCCCGCGUAUAUCGGUUUCGGGCAUCCGAGAUCGAGGAAAGAUUCAUCGGAAGAGGAUGGGCAUGCGGCGCAUUAGCUUGACGGCGGGGUAACGGCCCACCGUGGCGACGAUGCGUAGGGGUUCUGAGAGGAAGGUCCCCCACACUGGUACUGAGACACGGACCAGACUCCUACGGGAGGCAGCAGUGAGGAAUAUUGGUCAAUGGGAGAGAUCCUGAACCAGCCAAGCCGCGUGAGGGAAGACGGCCCUAUGGGUUGUAAACCUCUUUUGUCGGAGAACAAAACCCGGGACGUGUCCCGGACUGCGUGUAUCCGAAGAAAAAGCAUCGGCUAACUCCGUGCCAGCAGCCGCGGUAAUACGGAGGAUGCGAGCGUUAUCCGGAUUUAUUGGGUUUAAAGGGUGCGUAGGCGGUCCGUUAAGUCAGCGGUAAAAUUGCGGGGCUCAACCCCGUCGAGCCGUUGAAACUGGCAGACUUGAGUUGGCGAGAAGUACGCGGAAUGCGCGGUGUAGCGGUGAAAUGCAUAGAUAUCGCGCAGAACUCCGAUUGCGAAGGCAGCGUACCGGCGCCACACUGACGCUGAGGCACGAAAGCGUGGGGAUCGAACAGGAUUAGAUACCCUGG